Molecule: ribosomal RNA, 265 nt
Filed under: uncultured bacterium
Lineage: Bacteria
Description: partial 16S ribosomal RNA
Rfam family: Bacterial small subunit ribosomal RNA
Source: RNAcentral
GUCCACGCCGUAAACGAUGGGUGCUAGGUAUUCGGGGUUUAGACCCCCUGGGUAUCGUAGCUAACGCGUUAAGCACCCCGCCUGUGGAGUACGAGCGCAAGCUUAAAAACAUAAAGGAAUUGACGGGGACCCGCACAAGCGGUGGAGCGUGUGGUUUAAUUCGACGAUAAGCGGAGAACCUUACCAGGGUUUGACAUCCCAGGAAUCUCUUGGAAACAGGAGAGUGCCGCAAGGAAUCUGGUGACAGGUGCUGCAUGGUCGUCGU